CAGGAGCAGAUUGAAUUGGGAACUACAGUUCCAGCCUCCUGAUUGGUUCCUUUUCAAUCUAGGGGCGGAGCCCCAGAAGGGGAUAUAAGCAGCUGCAUGGUGAGCAUGCCGCGCAGUUGGUAAGGAACGAAGAAGAAGGAUGAGGUCCCGGGUCCAAAAAUAGCUGGGAGAGCUGCCAAGUGGGUGCAUCCGACUGCCCAGAAGAGCCUGAAAGAUUCUGCCACUGGGCAGAAGCGGUGGGGGGUGCAGGCAUCAAGGGACCGGGACCCUGGGAGCCGCAGCGAGGUGGCUCAGGUCUCCAACCCCAGCAGGAGGCCGGGCACAGGAGCCAGCACUACCACGGGAGUGUCGUUUAUUGUGGUACUUACCUGUCCAUAUCGGUUGGACCAUUAUGCUUACCUGCUUGUAUAUGGAAUUGCUGUCAAAUGGAUCUGGGCAGAGUGCACCACGGAGGAACUCCAGUUCCAGAGAGCAGAGCACUGGACUUGGGACUCCAGAGAACCGAGCUCUACUUGCAGUUCUGCCAUUGGCCUGCUGGACCAGUCACUUCUCCUGCCUGUUCCUCAAAAUGUCUCCAUCUGUAAAAUAGGACAGGCAGAGAUGAAUUUCCUCCAUUUGAAAACAGAGACAUCUACCACAGCUUCAAGCCAGUGUAUUGCAAGCAACAUGGAAAU
Alligator mississippiensis (American alligator) is the source of this 674-nucleotide long non-coding RNA. RefSeq lists it as uncharacterized. The record is from RefSeq and is a predicted model, not a curated record. The transcript is spliced from 4 exons. NCBI's taxonomy places the organism in Eukaryota, Metazoa, Chordata, Crocodylia, Alligatoridae.